CAGCGCCACGAGUGGCAAUCGCGUUUAUUGGGCCUAAAGCGUCCGUAGCAGGUUUUGUAAAUCUCUUGUGAAAUUGUCUCGCUUAACGAGACAGUGUGCAGGAGACACUGCAAGACUUGAGACCGGGAAGGGUAAGAGGUAUUCCUGAGGGAGCGGUAAAAUGCUAUAAUCUCAGGAGGACCACCUGUGGCGAAGGCGUCUUACUAGAACGGAUCUGACUGUGAGGGACGAAAGCUAGGGGAGCAAACCGGAUUAGAUACCCGCGUAGUCC
This 271-nucleotide ribosomal RNA is filed under the name uncultured archaeon. Its description in RNAcentral is "partial 16S ribosomal RNA". It matches the Rfam family "Archaeal small subunit ribosomal RNA", at positions 477 to 747 of the family's 1478-position model. The record is from RNAcentral.